RNAcentral lists this ribosomal RNA (490 nucleotides) under Clostridioides difficile. RNAcentral describes it as "bacterial SSU rRNA". It matches the Rfam family "Bacterial small subunit ribosomal RNA", at positions 1042 to 1533 of the family's 1533-position model. Lineage: Bacteria; Bacillati; Bacillota; Clostridia; Peptostreptococcales; Peptostreptococcaceae. The record is from RNAcentral.
UGCAUGGUUGUCGUCAGCUCGUGUCGUGAGAUGUUGGGUUAAGUCCCGCAACGAGCGCAACCCUUGUCUUUAGUUGCCAUCAUUAAGUUGGGCACUCUAGAGAGACUGCCAGGGAUAACCUGGAGGAAGGUGGGGAUGACGUCAAAUCAUCAUGCCCCUUAUGCUUAGGGCUACACACGUGCUACAAUGGGUAGUACAGAGGGUUGCCAAGCCGUAAGGUGGAGCUAAUCCCUUAAAGCUACUCUCAGUUCGGAUUGUAGGCUGAAACUCGCCUACAUGAAGCUGGAGUUACUAGUAAUCGCAGAUCAGAAUGCUGCGGUGAAUGCGUUCCCGGGUCUUGUACACACCGCCCGUCACACCACGGAAGUUGGAGACGCCCGAAGCCGAUUAUCUAACCUUUUGGAAGAAGUCGUCGAAGGUGGAAUCAAUAACUGGGGUGAAGUCGUAACAAGGUAGCCGUAUCGGAAGGUGCGGCUGGAUCACCUCCUUU